GUACUUACCUGGCAGGGGAGGCAUCAUGAUCAGGAAGGUGGUUUUCCCAGGGCGAGGCUCAUCCAUUGCACUGCGGCCGUGCUGACCCCUGCGAUUUCCCCAAAUGCGGGAAACUCAACUGCAUAAUUUGUAGUAGUGGGGGACUGCGUCCGUGCUCUCCCCUG
Echinops telfairi (small Madagascar hedgehog) is the source of this 164-nucleotide small nuclear RNA. Its record names the gene U1. It matches the Rfam family "U1 spliceosomal RNA". Rfam says of the family: U1 is a small nuclear RNA (snRNA) component of the spliceosome (involved in pre-mRNA splicing). Its 5' end forms complementary base pairs with the 5' splice junction, thus defining the 5' donor site of an intron. The record is from Ensembl. Lineage: Eukaryota; Metazoa; Chordata; Mammalia; Afrosoricida; Tenrecidae.